Molecule: ribosomal RNA, 482 nt
Filed under: uncultured bacterium
Lineage: Bacteria
Description: partial 16S ribosomal RNA
Rfam family: Bacterial small subunit ribosomal RNA
Source: RNAcentral
AUUGAACGCUGGCGGCAUGCCUUACACAUGCAAAUCGAACGGUAACGGGCCUUCGGGUGCCGACGAGUGGCGAACGGGUGAGUAAUACAUCGGAACGUGCCCGAUCGUGGGGGAUAACGAGGCGAAAGCUUUGCUAAUACCGCAUACGAUCUACGGAUGAAAGCCGGGGACCGCAAGGCCUUGCGCGGACGGAGCGGCCGAUUGCAGAUUAGGUAGUUGGGGGGAUAAAAGCUUACCAAGCCGACGAUCUGUAGCUGGUCUGAGAGGAUGAUCAGCCACACUGGGACUGAGACACGGCCCAGACUCCUACGGGAGGCAGCAGUGGGGAAUUUUGGACAAUGGGCGCAAGCCUGAUCCAGCCAUGCCGCGUGCAGGAUGAAGGCCUUCGGGUUGUAAACUGAUUUUGUACGGAACGAAAAGCCUUCUUUUAAUACAGGAGGGUCAUGACGGUACCGUAAGAAUAAGCACCGGCUAACUACGUG